UCACGCCAGCAGCUUCGAGAUUGUCGAGAGUGACAUUCUUCCACAACUUCCAACGGUCACUGAGUAUGAUGGGUUCAAUCCCGAGCUCUAUGAUGUUUUGGUAAAGAUGCAAGGCCUCCGGGAGUCCAGGGGUUGAUGCUCCGGUCCCUAACCACAACCAGUACGCCCCCGGGUCGGUCUUCUCUGUUCUAAGAAUCCAAAAAAAAAAAAAGUAGUUCAAAAUGAAAUCACAAAGUAAGAUAUAUAUGAAAAAAAACAUUUAGGUCAGUACUGAAACUAUUUAGAGUUGCAAAUAAUAUAUAUAAAAUAAAACCGAAACGUGCAUAUAGUGAUAUCUAAACCAUUAAAAAAAAAAUAUGAAGAUAAUAUUGUUAAUGCAAUGGAGGUGGUGUGGGUAGAACUAAUAAUGAUAAUUAUGCGUAUAUAUACCCGUAUCCAUAUUUUGCGUAGUAGGGAAUACUAGAGAGGAGGGUAUCAUCUAGGUCAAAGAUCCAAACAUUGACGGUGUCGUUCUUUAGGGCAAGUCCUUUGGCAUAGAAAUAAGCCUCUUUGCACACGGUUUUGGAGUCGUAUUGGUACUGUUUGGAAGUGAUCAAGUAGUCUUCAACAUAGUCUUUGCAAUUUGCGGGCACCGUGUCGAAGUCUAUGAUGUUAGAGGUCUCAACACCAAGGUGCCAGCUUCUGCAGUUGGCGUAGUUGAUGGAAAGUUUCUCUUUCUCUAAGAGUUCGGCUACGUUCCCAAAGAUGGUUUUCGAAUCGACGAGUUCGAUGAGCCCUGGAACGGAUGCCGAGACCGUAGCGGCCAAGAGCAAGAGAAGUGAAAGUGAGAGGAUUUUCAUGUUUUUUAUGGUAUGGUUUAUUGUUUAGUUUGUGAUGUUUAUAUGUGUGACGCAAAGGGUGGUAUUUAUAAUGAGGUGGGGUUAUGAGAAAUGAUUAAGAAGCCAGAUGAGAAAUGAGGAGAUAUGUGUGCUUGUCUGUUUUCGAUUGGUGCAACAAAUGCUACUGGUCCCAUAAUGUUUAUAAUCGACGAUAUUUUUCACUUACACCACUCGUUUUUAGUGCACGUUGAGAUUGUGUGCUUAACUAGAAUUUGGCGUUUUGUUGUUCUAUUAUCUUUGGCUUAUCUGCUUGUAAAUUUUGAAUUAGAGUUUCGUUUUGGAGAAUACUGUAAAGUUGUUCUACAUUACUAGAAAAAUGUAUUGAAUAUGUUGAUGUGAGUAUAAUUUGUGUUUGCGGAAAUAAUAUAUAGAGUAAAUGUUUCAUUUUUUUUUUUUUGAUAAAUAAUUGAUAGAGUAAUUGGGAAAACCAAUAAAAUGCAAAACGAGUAAUUGACAACAGGUUCCACAGUGAGCGAGAAGAGAUGGGUGUACUGUGAAUAAUAUAAGAGAUGAGACAUGACGAUAAGAAAUGUGAGGUACACAAGAAUAGACGUUAAAUAAUUGUUACGUAAAGUCGUAACAUUAAAUAAUUCAAUAAAUUAGCAAACAUAUAUAGCUGUAUCACUAUUCACUAGUUGUUGACAAAUAUUUGAAUAACGAUUUUCAUGCCCGAGAUUGGGAACAGUUUCUAAUUGCCACCAAGAUUUUCCACAAAAAGUUGUAUCUUGGUGAUAGCUAUAGUUUCAACGAUAAUUGUCCAGUCUUCCAACAAUAUUGUUAUAUAUUUUUUUCUAAUGCAUAUAACCUCAUGACGAAAUAUUUAAGUAGUUUAAUAGAAUUUUUAUAUAUCAAAAAGUAUAUAUAGUGUUGCAAACCAAGUUGUGGUACACUACAAGAGAACAAAACCCUUUUCGACAGACUUUUCGACGAUAAAUAAACGGUCGAAAAUUUUCGACGGUUUCGUAAUGGUAUUCCGACGGUUUUCUGACGACAUGUUUUCCGUCAAAAUGUCGUCGAACUUUUCUGACGAAUUCUAAAUGAUCGACAAUUCAUCAGUCAUUUCCAACGAAACUCCGACCAAAUUAAAUCCGACCAAAUUAAAUCCGACCAAAUGUUUCGACGGAUUUCCGACCAAAAUAUAUCCGUUUUGAUCCCUAGAAUAUUCAUCAGAAUAUUCUGCACUUUUCCGACGGAAUUCCAACGAAAUACACUCGGUCAAGUAGCUACUCGGUCAAUUCGCCGCACGGUCACAUAGCCGUGCAUUUUUUUAUUUUAAAAAAUAAAUAUUCAAAAUUUCCGUCGGAAAUUCGUCGCCAAAACCCGUCGGACGUCCGUCGAAAACCCGUCGAAAACAUUGAUAAUUCUCAUCUUUAUAUUUUUCUACCAUCAUUCACAAAAUCGUCCAAGCAGCAACAAAAUAUAACCAGAGAGAAAUGGCUUCUUCAAAUCCGUUUAAUUAUUUUCGAUCAUGGAUGGACCAGCCCAUGCGUGAUCCGCUAACGGAGUUACUAAUGCCGGAAUAUGCAGAAGGUCUUAAACAAUUCAUGGCAUUCGCGACAAAUCAACCGGUAACCAUCGAAUCAAAAAAAAUGUGUUGUACAUGUCGGAAUUUUGGAGUUCUUCAUGUAUCUCAAGUUUGGAUGCACUUAUAUGGGGAAGGGUUUAUGUCGGGGUACAAAGUUUGGUUCAUGCAUGGAGAGAAUGAGUCAAUGGUGAAUUAUGGUAGUUGUAGCGAAUAUUAUCCUGUUGAUAGGUUAGUGGAACCAAAUCCGGAAGUAGAUGCAAAUGUAGGUACCGUUCAGAUGGUAAAUGAUGCUUUUCGUGAAAAUGUACACUCGUUUGAUGGGGAUAGUGAUAGAGUAGAGGAACCUAAUUUAGAAGCACGGAAGUUUUUUGAUAUGUUAGAUGCAGCAAAAUAUCCCUUAUAUAAAGGAUGUAAAAAGGGUCAUUCGCCUUUAUCUGCUGCAACUAAGUUGAUGGGUAUCAAAACGGAUUAUAAUUUGUCCGAGGAUUGUGUGGAUGCGAUUACUGAUUUUGUGAAAGAUUUAUCACCCGAAGAUAAUCUUGCACCGGGAACAUACUACGAGGUGCAGAAAUUGGUAGCUGGUCUUGGUUUACCGUAUCAGGUGAUAGAUGUGUGCAUUGACAAUUGUAUGUUGUUCUGGAGAGAAGAUUCAGAUCGUUUGACAUGUAAGUUUUGUCGCAAACCUCGGUAUCGGGAAACAAGUGGACGAGUCCCAAUUCCAUACAAACGGAUGUGGUAUUUACCAUUAUCAGAGAGGUUGAAGAGGUUAUAUCAAUCUAAGCGCACAGCCGGGCCAAUGAGAUGGCAUGCAGAGCACACAACAGAAGGAAAAAUUACGCAUCCUUCUGAUGCAGAAGCCUGGAAACAUUUUCAAACAGUGCAUCCUAGCUUUGCUUCCAAACAAAGGAACGUAUAUCUUGGAUUAUGUACAGAUGGAUUCAAUCCCUUUGGAAAGCAUGAGAGGCAGUACUCAUUGUGGCCUGUUAUCGUGACACCUUGCAACUUGUCGCCAUCAUUAUGCAUGAAACGAGAGUUUCUAUUUUUGACCAUCCUCGUUCCUGGCCCACAUCAUCCAAGAAGAUCACUCGACGUGUUUCUACAACCACUUAUAUACGAGUUACAAAUGUUAUGGGAGCAUGGUGUUGAAGCGUUUGAUGUUUCAUCCCAACAGAAUUUUGUCAUGCGUGCGGCACUUAUGUGGACCAUCAGCGGCUUUCCUGCAUAUGGUAUGUUAUCUGGAUGGACAACGCAUGGAAGGUUAUCGUGUCCGUAUUGUCAAAAAUAUGAAUAUAAUCAGCUAGUAAUAUACUUUGUAAUUUUAUUUUAGAUUUAGAUUGUUAGAUUUAGGUUCAUAGAUAUUAUAGAUCACUUACGUGACAAACCGUGGUUAUAGAUCACUUGCAUGAACCACGAUUUGUAUUUUUCGUUUUUUAAUUUAUUAAUCAUAUGUUCCUCUUCGUCUUUGCUGGUGACUUGUGAUGGAGUAUGUUUUAGAAACCUCAACGAAUUUAAUCUCAUAUUUUAGUUUAAUAAAUUGUUAUUUACGUGUCUUCUGAAUUUUCCAUUUAAAAAUAAAUUAUACUUAGAUAUUUAUUUUGCUAUGGUAUCUAUUGGUUUUUUGACAUUACAAAUUUUGAUUAUAUUAAACUGUGUAUUAUUAAUAUUAUUUUAUUUUUUAGGACUUCUUACCAAGAUUUUCGUAGGUCUGAGACUCGAUCCAAUAAUCAGGCGCACUCGACAACACCAUCACCAUCGUCCGUUCCCGAGUCGCAGCAGUCUGCGGCUCGUCCACCAAUGACAGUUGAGGAGCUAGUACAACAACCGGGGCGAACACUUCUCCGACGACUCCAUCCAAAAAGGCGUGAAAAAGGGAGCACAUGGUAAGUAAAUUUUGUUCUCUGUUUUUAAUAUAUAAAGAUUUUAUAGUAUAAAUUAUAUUAUUUAUCUCUAUAUGUAGGUUUGGUUAUUCUAAAAAUGGCAUAUCCAAAUCGAUUUUACGGAUGUUGCAUGGAAUGCUCAAACAUCUGUAUCCGAAGUACAAUGAUAUGCUUCGCGAUGAUCAAGAGCUUUGGUUUAGAACUUUUGCGGUAAUGAAUUUAUUAUUACGUACCAUUAUUUUGUUUGUUUUUUCUAACAUAAUUCUUUUUGUUUGUAGCAUGAAUUCAAUAGGGAUCAUGUCCUCACACCCACUGUCCGUAUCGCGUUUAACAAGUAUGCUGCAUCAAAAUUUGCAGACCACAUGAACAUUUGGAAGGGAAAGUGGGCAGCAGGCAAGGAGUGUCCAAGAGGCUUGAACCCAGACAUAUGGCCUCGCUAUAAAGAGUAUUGGGCGUUGCCGGAGACUGCUCGUACCGCGGAAACCAACUCAUAAAACCAGAAAAGAGAGCGUGGUGGCAAAGGUGUGGCGGUGCACAAUGCGGGUUCGACGAGCUUCUUAAGUCGUACAGACGAAUUGGUAAGUCUUUUACUCUUAUUUAAUUUCAUGUUUUCUUUUAAUUUAACUAUAUUUUUUUAUUUGAUUUAUAGACGGAGAAGAACGGAGGUGUGAAACCUGAUUUUGUAGAAAUCAUUGAGGAUACACACACCAACAAGAAAACUGGAUUAAUUCAAGACGGUUACAUCGCGGGUCUUGUUGAGACAUUGAAGAGAAGGAAGACGGAGUGCCUCACACAGCUUCCCCAAAAUGAUGAUGGAUCCUCACCAUCCAACGUCCAGGCCCGAGAAAAAAUUAACCGCAUGGUUCUUGAGGUAAGGUUUGUUUCAUAGCAUACAUUUUUGUAUAAUUUUUAAAAAAUUACUAAUAGUUGUUAUAUACAGGAAGUUCCGUCAAACCGGAGUCGUGUGGUAGGAUUAGGUAGCCUAAACGAAAGCACCAAAGAUUUUUAUGACGGCCCAUCACGGGAUUCUGAGAUCCUUGCAGAGCUUGAGGAGAAAGACAAGGAGAUCUUAGCUUUGAAGGAGCAAAACAUGAAGAUUCUUGACUUCAUGCGUUCCAAAUUUCCUGAUUUUCCUGAUGAUCUAUAAAUGCUUUUAUUUAAAUUUAAUUUUGUUGUUUUGUCAAACAAUUUUAUUUUCUUUCGUAGGAUAAUAUAUGUAUUUUUAAAAUAUUUAUUUUAUAAUAUUUUAAGAAAGAAUUUUCUAUAAAAUUUAAUUUAAAUUAAUAAAAAUAUUGGUAAUUAAAUUAGACCCGUCGGUAAUACAGACAAUGUCAGUAACCCGUCGGAAAAUACAACAACAUCAGUAACCCGUCGGAAAAUAUAACAACGUCAAUAACCCGUCGGAAAAUACAACAGUCAGUAACCCGUCGGAAAUACUUCGUCGGGAAUCCAUCGGGAAUAAUGUUGUCGGGAAAUCGUCGAAGACGAUACCGACCGAUUUUCAACAACGUUCUGAUGCAAUGCCUGACAACAAUAUUCGUUAGAAAAUAGUCGAAAACUAUUUCCGACGAAGAUCCAACGAUCAUUUUCGACGAUGUUCCAACCAGUUUCGCAACCAAUGUUAUCGUCAGAAAAGCGUAGAGAAAUUGUCGGAAAAUACCUCGUCGGAAACCCGUCGGUAAUUUGUAACACGUUUCCAACGACAUUCAGAUUUCCGACAAGAUAGAAUCGACCAAUCUAUGUUGUCGAAAUGUCGUCGAAUACGGCUAUUUUUAACGGUAUUUCGACGAUUUCGUCCGUCGGAAAGAGCCUAUAUUCUUGUAGUGGUAGAAUAGUAGUUUCCAUUUGAAAUAUGAAGUCUUCAUGUGCGUAUAGUUUAGGGAUUAAAAUUCUUCAACUAUUUAAAUUAUUCGGUCUGAAAGUACCCUGGUUAACAACAAAAAAAAAAAGUUGCAACGACAAAAGUUUAUGUUUUUAUUUCAUAAAAACUAUUGACCAAACAUCUGAUGUCAAAGAAAAAAAAAACUAUAUUACCAAACAACAUAUACUUUAAUCACUCUAAAGGGAAUGUAGUUAAAACUCGAAUCAUAUUAAGAUGAUGUGUUCCCAACUAAUAUCAAUCCUAAGGAUUAGUCGGUUUAAACAUUGGUUUCAUCAUAUAACGUAAAGGAAUGAGUGUUAUACCACUACCAGCUUAACGUAAAUGGUGAGAAGAUAUUCAUAGAAAAUGAUAGUCUAUACUCUAUACAUGAUUAAAGAGAUUGGUAUAGUGUUGUGUUAACUGUUAUAUUUACAUGGAGAUAUCAUUUCAUGGAAACUUGAUUAAUGAUCCCUUUAACGAAAAACAAAAUUUAGUACGAAGUCGUUGUACUUAUUGAGUUAUGAUAGGAUUGGCAUUUUAUUUAAGCAGUGGUGCCAAAACGGCUACAAAGAUAAACGAAACGACAUAGAUAUGAAAUGGAUACAAGGGGACAAUGCCAUGAAGAUAGAUGCUUAAUUAAGAAGGUACGUAGUAGAGUGGAUUUGGGAGCUUAAAAACCCUUCCAGGAGUAUCCUCAACCAAAUCAGCCCAUUGGUCUCCAAUAUUCCCAACGAUGUUGUACCCUUUCUUCACAAGGCUAUUCCUAACCUUUGACUUGUACACCACUUGCGUCAACUUCGAUCCGUUUGGCCUGCGUUUCCAUAUAUAGUCCUCGAUAUUCAAUCACAUAUGACAUUAUUUGCUAUAUAUAACUAAGCUACUUGAUUAAUUCUUACUUGAGUAUGAGAUGCUUCCAUUUUGUUACACCAACAGCCUUGAGAUUCUCGACAGUGACUUCUGACAAUUUUUUCCAUCUGUCAGAGAUUAUGAUGGGUUCAAUCCCGAGUUCCAAGAGGUUUUCGUAUAGAUGCAAGGUCUCCGGGAGUCCUGGAGUUGAUUCUCCGGACUCUAACCACGACCAGUACGCCCCCGGGGCUGUGUUCUCGGUCCUAAGAAUCCAACAAAAAAAAAUCUACAUUAGAAUGAAAUCACAAAGUAGAUAUGGACCCAAAAAAACAGUUAGAUGGGUUAGUUAAAAUAUUUAAAGUUGUCAAAUGAAACGUGUCUUUCCAUAUAUGACAGCUAAACAUUUUCAAAAAAACUAUAUGACGAUAAUAUUAUUAAUUCAAUGUAGAUAGGUACAAUAAUAUGUAUAUACCCAUAUCCAUAUUUAGCGUAGUAGGGAAUACUAGAGAGGAGAGUGUCGUCUAGGUCAAAGAUCCAAACAUUGACGGUAUCGUUCUUUAGGGCAAGUCCUUUGGCGUAAAAAUAUGCCUCUUUGUUUACAGUUUUGGAGUCGUAUUGGUACUGUUUGGAAGUGAUCAAGUAGUCUUCAACAUAGGCUUUGCAAUUUGCGGGCACCGUGUCGAAGUUUAUGAUGUUAGAGGUCUCAACACCAAGGUGCCAGCUUCUGCAGUUGGG
This 7722-nucleotide long non-coding RNA is filed under the name Arabidopsis thaliana (thale cress). RNAcentral's name for it is "long non-coding RNA (ATHA_LNC000406)". Lineage: Eukaryota; Viridiplantae; Streptophyta; Magnoliopsida; Brassicales; Brassicaceae. The record is from RNAcentral.